GACGAACGCUGGCGGCGUGCUUAACACAUGCGAGUCGAACGGAAAGGCCCUGCUUUUGUGGGGUGCUCGAGUGGCGAACGGGUGAGUAACACGUGAGUAACCUGCACUUGACUUUGGGAUAACUUCAGGAAACUGGGGCUAAUACCGGAUAGGAGCUCCUGAUGCAUGGUGGGGGAUGGAAAGUUUCGGCGGUUGGGGAUGGACUCGCGGCUUAUCAGCUUGUUGGUGGGGUAGUGGCUUACCAAGGCUUUGACGGGUAGCCGGCCUGAGAGGGUGACCGGCCACAUUGGGACUGAGAUACGGCCCAGACUCCUACGGGAGGCAGCAGUGGGGAAUAUUGCGCAAUGGGCGGAAGCCUGAUGCAGCAACGCCGCGUGCGGGAUGACGGCCUUCGGGUUGUAAACCGCUUUCGCCUGUGACGAAGCGUGAGUGACGGUAAUGGGUAAAGAAGCACCGGCUAACUACGUG
Molecule: ribosomal RNA, 468 nt
Filed under: uncultured bacterium
Lineage: Bacteria
Description: partial 16S ribosomal RNA
Rfam family: Bacterial small subunit ribosomal RNA
Source: RNAcentral